GCUCGAGUGGUGAAAUUGGCAUACACGCAAGACUUAGGAUCUUGUGCCUCACGGCGUGAGGGUUCGACUCCCUCCUCGAGCACCA
This 85-nucleotide transfer RNA is filed under the name Puniceicoccales bacterium. Its description in RNAcentral is "tRNA-Leu". It matches the Rfam family "tRNA". From Rfam's summary of the family: Transfer RNA (tRNA) molecules are approximately 80 nucleotides in length. Their secondary structure includes four short double-helical elements and three loops (D, anti-codon, and T loops). Further hydrogen bonds mediate the characteristic L-shaped molecular structure. tRNAs have two regions of fundamental functional importance: the anti-codon, which is responsible for specific mRNA codon recognition, and the 3' end, to which the tRNAs corresponding amino acid is attached (by aminoacyl-tRNA synthetases). tRNAs cope with the degeneracy of the genetic code in two manners: having more than one tRNA (with a specific anti-codon) for a particular amino acid; and 'wobble' base-pairing, i.e. permitting non-standard base-pairing at the 3rd anti-codon position. The record is from RNAcentral. Lineage: Bacteria; Pseudomonadati; Verrucomicrobiota; Opitutia; Puniceicoccales.